Molecule: ribosomal RNA, 253 nt
Filed under: uncultured bacterium
Lineage: Bacteria
Description: partial 16S ribosomal RNA
Rfam family: Bacterial small subunit ribosomal RNA
Source: RNAcentral
UACGUAGAGGGCAAGCGUUGUUCGGAAUUACUGAGCGUAAAGGGCGCGUAGGCGGUACAGCAAGUCGGGAGUGAAAGCCCGAAGCUCAACCCCGGAAUGGCUUUCGAAACUGCUGAACUAGAGUGCGGAAAGGGCAACUGGAAUUCCCAGUGUAGCGGUGAAAUGCGUAGAUAUUGGGAAGAACACCUGAGGCGAAGGCGGGUUGCUGGGCCGACACUGACGCUGAGGCGCGAAAGCCAGGGGAGCAAACGGG